Pimephales promelas (fathead minnow) is the source of this 803-nucleotide non-coding RNA. The record is from RefSeq and is a predicted model, not a curated record. NCBI's taxonomy places the organism in Eukaryota, Metazoa, Chordata, Actinopteri, Cypriniformes, Leuciscidae.
AUAACUAUUUUUAUUCUCUGAUCAUUAGUGAGUGUGAACUCGUGAAAUGUAUCAUAUGAAUUGAAGGUGAUAUAAUAAUGUUCAUGUAAGUAUUGUUUGAUAUGGAUUACAGAAAUACCUAUGCUUGACUUCAAAAUGUGUUUGUCAACAUGUUUAGAUUGGCUGUGAUAUGUGCCCACGCUGGUUUCACUGCAGAUGUGUUCAACGUACAAGAAAAAACAAAACAUACAUCUGCCCAGUUUGUCAACCUUAAUUGUGUCUUGGUUUUUCUUGAUCACCCGGUUUUUGACCCCCUGCUCUCGUCCUGGAAUAUUGCCUUUGCUUCAUCCUUCAUACUGUUGGUCCGCUACUGAUUUUGACCCCAGCCUGUUCUUUGGAUUUUGCCUCUGUCUCGCCCUCUUACUUGAUGGCUCGGCUAUCAAUAAUUUUAUGUUCUUUUUUAUUGUUUUCAUUCAACGUUUUGACAAUAAAUCCUGUUCUAAAUUGAUCUGCUCUUGGGUCCUGUUGUCUGAACCUCCCUAACAACUUUAGCUGGGUCAGAGACUCAAGACACUCAUUCUGGAGACUCAUCUCAUCCUGUAGACUACCUGCAGAAAAGCACAAGUGUGUAGUUUCAAUACAUGGCAAUUGAACCAUCAUACUGGACUUGGAAACAUAAAUCCAGGGCAAGAGUAAAAGAGCAAUUGGAUUCCAUUCAGUCUGAAUUUAAUGUUCUGGAUGGAGAUAAUGUUAUUGAUGAAGAUGGAGUCAUUUAUGAAGAUGGAGUCGUUGAGGAUUUUCCAUGUGAUGUCGAAGAGAUAGAU